This 454-nucleotide long non-coding RNA is filed under the name Cyanistes caeruleus (blue tit). Its description in RNAcentral is "lncRNA (ENSCCEG00000016650.1)". Lineage: Eukaryota; Metazoa; Chordata; Aves; Passeriformes; Paridae. The record is from RNAcentral.
GGCCCGCGUGGCGCUGCCGGGCCCGCGCCAUUUUGAUCCCCAGGCGUGGCGGCCGGGGCUGGUGCUGGGCUUGCUGCUCCUGCUGUGCCCUCAGCUGCGGCUGGGGCAGCUCCUGGCACGGUGAGACAGCCUUCGGUCGUCUGGGUUCCUGCGUAAAGUGUUAAAUAACGUGGGACCACCUCGUUCAAGUGGCAGAGGGUUGGUGCACGUGCUUCUGUUACCUUUACCUCUUUCGGAGGGCUCAGCCAUCGGCAUCAUGGCAUUGCCCCACAGCAGAAGACGUAUAAAAGGAUUGUGAAACCUACAUAGCGUCCCAGAGAAAAAAGACCCACAACAUUUAGGUGUCAUGGAGAGGAGGUUUUCAGCGGUGUCGAGCACACUGUACAUUAAGGAUUUCAUGGAAGGACCAUCACAAGUAGAAGAAUACUUGGUACACACAAGUGGAUUUUCCUGA